GACGAACGCUGGCGGCGUGCUUAACACAUGCAAGUCGAACGGAAAGGCCCUGCUUUUGUGGGGUGCUCGAGUGGCGAACGGGUGAGUAACACGUGAGUAACCUGCCCUUGACUUUGGGAUAACUUCAGGAAACUGGGGCUAAUACCGGAUAGGAGCUCCUGCUGCAUGGUGGGGGUUGGAAAGUUUCGGCGGUUGGGGAUGGACUCGCGGCUUAUCAGCUUGUUGGUGGGGUAGUGGCUUACCAAGGCUUUGACGGGUAGCCGGCCUGAGGGGGUGACCGGCCAAAUGGGAACUGGGAUACGGCCCAGACUCCUCCGGGAGGCAGCAGUGGGGAAUAUUGCACAAUGGGCGGAAGCCUGAUGCGGCAACGCCGCUGGGGGGAUGACGGCCUUCGGGUUGUAAACCGCUUUCGCCUGUGACGAAGCGUGGGUGACGGUAAUGGUGAAAGAAGCACCGGCUAACUACGU
This 467-nucleotide ribosomal RNA is filed under the name uncultured bacterium. RNAcentral describes it as "partial 16S ribosomal RNA". It matches the Rfam family "Bacterial small subunit ribosomal RNA", at positions 28 to 506 of the family's 1533-position model. The record is from RNAcentral.